UGGUGCGAUCAUACCAGCACUAAUGCACCGGAUCCCAUCAAACUCCGCAGCUAACCGUGCUUGGGCGAGAGUAGUACUAGGAUGGGUGACCUCCUGGGAAGUCCUCGUGUUGCACCCC
Corylus avellana is the source of this 118-nucleotide non-coding RNA. The record is from RefSeq and is a predicted model, not a curated record. NCBI's taxonomy places the organism in Eukaryota, Viridiplantae, Streptophyta, Magnoliopsida, Fagales, Betulaceae.